CGGACGGGUGAGUAAUGCUUGGGAAUCUGGCUUAUGGAGGGGGAUAACUACGGGAAACUGUAGCUAAUACCGCGUAAUAUCGAAAGAUUAAAGUGUGGGACCUUCGGGCCACAUGCCAUGGGAUGAGCCCAAGUGGGAUUAGGUAGUUGGUGGGGUAAAGGCCUACCAAGCCUGCGAUCUCUAGCUGGUCUGAGAGGAUGGCCAGCCACACUGGAACUGAGACACGGUCCAG
RNAcentral lists this ribosomal RNA (232 nucleotides) under uncultured bacterium. Its description in RNAcentral is "partial 16S ribosomal RNA". It matches the Rfam family "Bacterial small subunit ribosomal RNA", at positions 99 to 334 of the family's 1533-position model. The record is from RNAcentral.